GAUGAACGCUGGCGGCGUGCCUAAUACAUGCAAGUCGAGCGGACAGAUGAGGAGCUUGCUCCUCUGACGUUAGCGGCGCACGGGUGAGUAACACGUGGAUACCCUACUUAUAAUACUGGUAUAACCUCGGGACACCGGAGCUAAUACCGGAUAAUAUACUGAACCGCAUGGUUCAAUAGUAAAAGACGGUUUUGCUGUCUCUUCUAGAUGGAUCUGCGCCGGAUUAGCUAGUUGGUAAGGUAACGGCUUACCAAGGCGACGAUGCGUAGCCGACCUGAGAGGGUGAUCGGCCGCACUGGAGCUGAGACACGGACCAUACGCCUACGAGACGGAGCAGUAGGGAAUGUGCCGCAGUGGUCGAGAGCCUGACGGAGCAGCGGCGCGUGAGAGGUGAAGGUCUUCGGAGCGUGAUACUCUGUUAUUAGGGAAGAACAAAUGUGUAAGUAACUAUGCACGUCUUGACGGUACCUAAUCAGAAAGCAACGGCUAACUACGUG
Molecule: ribosomal RNA, 497 nt
Filed under: uncultured bacterium
Lineage: Bacteria
Description: partial 16S ribosomal RNA
Rfam family: Bacterial small subunit ribosomal RNA
Source: RNAcentral